UUUUGUUCUCAGGGCGGGGUGCAAUUCCCCACCGGCGGUAACGCAUGGUCUGCUUCCAGAAACAUGCGAAGUCCGCGAGCGUUGCGGUGGCAGGUGAUUUCGCCAUGCCGCCGUGAGUCAGCAGAUCUGGUGAGAAUCCAGAACCGACGGUGACAGUCCGGAUGAAAGAGAACGGUG
RNAcentral lists this non-coding RNA (177 nucleotides) under Lampropedia hyalina. Its description in RNAcentral is "FMN sequence". It matches the Rfam family "FMN riboswitch aptamer (RFN element)". From Rfam's summary of the family: The RFN element is a highly conserved domain that is found frequently in the 5'-untranslated regions of prokaryotic mRNAs that encode for flavin mononucleotide (FMN) biosynthesis and transport proteins. This element is a metabolite-dependent riboswitch that directly binds FMN in the absence of proteins. The record is from RNAcentral. Lineage: Bacteria; Pseudomonadati; Pseudomonadota; Betaproteobacteria; Burkholderiales; Comamonadaceae. RNAcentral also lists the same sequence under 1 other name.